CGUGUAGGCGGUCAGGUAAGUGGAAUGUGAAAUUCCCCGGCUCACCCGGGGACCGGCAUCCCAAACUGCCUGGCUUGAGUAUGGGAGAGGAUGGAGGAAUUCCUGGUGUAGCGGUGAAAUGCGUAGAUAUCAGGAGGAACACCGGUGGCGAAGGCGUCCAUCUGGCCCAAUACUGACGCUGAGGCGCGAAAGCUAGGGGAGCAAACG
RNAcentral lists this ribosomal RNA (207 nucleotides) under uncultured Latescibacterota bacterium. RNAcentral describes it as "uncultured Latescibacteria bacterium partial 16S ribosomal RNA". It matches the Rfam family "Bacterial small subunit ribosomal RNA", at positions 568 to 774 of the family's 1533-position model. The record is from RNAcentral. Lineage: Bacteria; Pseudomonadati; Candidatus Latescibacterota.